GAUUUGACCGACCAAUCAAUGAGAGAAAACUUUCUGGAAAAGUUGGCAUCUGCCCUGGCUGACAGAGGAUUCACAAACGUGACACUGAGUUGGUUUCAAACCCCUGUACGGGUGAUUCAGAAGGAGAACGCUCCUAAAAGUUGUGUUAAAGUACCGUGAUAUCCUGGAAAGUUACAUUGGAAACAAUGUAAAGCCUCUUCAAGCAAUUCUGCUGCCUUGUUUAAGCUUACAUAAAAUAAUAGAUAAUAAAACAAAGCUAACUGAACAACAUAAUGAAGUGAAUGCUUAUUACCAAUCACAAAAAUAUUUACUGUGCUGCCUGUUAAAGAUAUUUUAUUUUUAAGAUGUUUUAAAUUGUUUAAAUGUGAGAAUAUCAUUAAGGACUUUUAUCUUAAACCCUGGCCAGGACGGGUCUGGGGAAAAAGGGCCCAUAUGGUCACCUUAAUUUUAAAGAUGGUUUAAAUUGUUUAAAUAAGAAAUAGUCAUUAAGGAUUUUAACCCGAAAGCUUGUCACUGAUUCUUUUCUGUGAUGUACAGUAAGUUGUCAUGAGUUGGCUGCUAAAUAAAUCCUGAAAAGUUUGGAACACUGCCAUUAUGGGUGUGUGUUUAUUUACUUUUUAAAUUCUCAAACACUGAUUUACAGCAAGCCACUCCCAGAUCAC
Long non-coding RNA from Cyprinus carpio (common carp), 662 nucleotides. RefSeq lists it as uncharacterized. The record is from RefSeq and is a predicted model, not a curated record. The transcript has 3 exons. NCBI's taxonomy places the organism in Eukaryota, Metazoa, Chordata, Actinopteri, Cypriniformes, Cyprinidae.